AUUUGUUCAUUUGAUGAUGUCACAUUCAACUUUUUUUCUCUUUUCUCUUCCCCGAAUGACAAAUCUAAUUUACUUUUCACUUUUCUCUUUUCUCUUUUCUCACUUAUCUCUCUUUCUGAAACCUCUUUCUCUACCCUCUUCAUCUUCCUCUCCUCUGACAUAUUGUUAUACAUUCAUUUAGAGUAUUAACACAUACUAUGGAGAAAGUGAAAAAGAAAUUGCCAAGCUUGAAUUUCCAUAUUUCGUAAAAGAAGUUUUGAUCUGUUUCCAUAUUGUGAUACGAGUUCAAGACAACCAAUGGCUGAGAAGUUUGAUUUUGAUUUCAUUGAUUGCUUCUUUUGAGUUCGGCCUCAAUUUCGUUUCCAGGGUUCUGGGCUACAAAGAAACUUCAUUUUUCAUGUCGCCUCAGAGGUUGCACCUUGCUUGUGUUCUUUAUCUUAUUUAUUUUUGGUUUUGUUAAAUGUUAGGUACUUGACAUUUUCUGUUAUAUCUUCUGUUGUAACUAACAUAUGUCAUUGCUUCGGAAAUUGUCACCGGAUAUAUGUGAUGCGGGUGAAGGUGAUUUUGACAUUUCAAAUUAUGCAGACAGAUGCUUUUUGAGUAUCUUGAAGAUAGUAAGAUGCGAAUCUCAAAGAUGUGUAUUUCAUCUCCCACUUCCAUCUCCCACUUUUAUACAAAAUAAUAUUGGUUUGAGGUUGUACUAUACCAUUUUUUGUCUCCUUAAUCCCACUGGAUAUUUUUGUGCUGACCAUAUGAAAAUGUUCAACACUUAAUAUGUUGUAAUUCAUAUGCUACAUAUGCUUACUUGACUUUGUGUUUGAGAUAGUAAAGUGAUUCAAAUUACUACAUAUACUGAUUUGGAAGAAUCAAAGAGUACGUUAAGUGUUUAAUUAAUACCAUUUUAAGUUUUAAGUUUCAACAUUUAUUAAUAUGAUUUAAUAUUUUUGUCACUGUUAUUGAAGGCAUGCCCUUUCUAUCCUUGCUGCAAAUGAUGAAUACAGAUGGAAUUUCCCUAGCAUUUGGAUGGAACAAACAUGGACACCUAGGUCAGGGUUCUGUAAAAAAUGGUAUCUUUUACUAAGUAUUUGGCAAAUAUAUGCUAUGUGAUUUCCAUUGUGUACAUUUUAACCAGGGUUUAUUAUUUGUUAAUGUGAUUUAUACUUGUCUUAGGCUUGGUUUAGAUGUUACAUUGUCAGUAAAAUUCCAACACACCCGCGUAGUAACAUAACUAUGCGCUCGUGUACGAGCAUGUGGUAAUGGAUGCUAUAAGGGAGACUCAAGUCAGAAUAUAGGAAUGAUGAAAUCAGGAAAAAGUUGCACGAUUUGUGUUCCUAAUCCUUUAUGUCAAUUAUUAUGAUGAAAUGAUUUUGGUUGGUUGAGUUUUCUGUGUAGUUUUCAUGGAAGGAACUAAGAUGAUGUCUAUUAUUGUGAUGGAAUGGUUUUAGUUGGUUGAGUAAUGAUUUUGGUUUGUUGAUUUUUCUGUUUAGUUUUCAUGAAUUGAACACCAAUAGUAAAAACCAGGAGGUUCUCCAAGAUGUAAUGAUUUUUCUGUUUUGUGUAAAUAGCUUAUUUGAGUAAAUAACUUAUUUGAGUUCUUCUUCAAUCAAUAGCUUAUUUUGUGUAAUGAUUUUUCUGUCUUGUGUAAAUAGCUUAUUUGAGUUCUUCAACCAAUACUUAUUUGAAUUUAUUUACUUACAUAAACACUGUUUGCAGCUAAUUUGGUACUUUAUAUACUCAUAAUUUCAUAACCUGACUUUGUUACUUUUUGAAGCUAAUUUCUCAACAAAGAGUUUCAUUAGAACAUGCUACUAUGGUUAUGGCAGACUAUUGAAAUCGUAUUCCCAUGUUUUUCCUUUUCUUUGUGUGAAUCUUGAACUGUUAAUCUUACAACAUGAGUUUCAUUUUGUUUGCUUAACUUCUUAGCAUUUUUUUACUUACUGAGUUUGUUUUAGUUACUUCUCAUGUUAUGUACUUGAAGUUCAAAGCCUGUAUUUCAAGAUGUUUUGAUGUUUUUUUUUGCAAAAUGAAGACCUAACUCCAAUGCAAUCCGCCACUAAGCUAAAGCACAUUAAGAAGGAGUGAUUAUGUGUCCAUAUCUUUGCAAGCCUCACUUUUGGAUGAAUCUUAUUGUUUUGUCGACACCAUUUAUUGAAGGAUUUGAUCCAACUUCUAAGUCCUGUGACUGUUUUAGCAUGUCGUUAUGCAUGUUGAUUGUUUUUUUGGAAUAUAGUUUGAACUAAUCAACUCUGGAAUUAUGGGUAUUGUAAUGAAGUUUGCAAUAUUAAUUAUUUUGUUAAUCUGUUAUUCUCUUA
Lathyrus oleraceus (garden pea) is the source of this 2312-nucleotide long non-coding RNA. RefSeq lists it as uncharacterized. Lineage: Eukaryota; Viridiplantae; Streptophyta; Magnoliopsida; Fabales; Fabaceae. The record is from RefSeq and is a predicted model, not a curated record. The transcript has 3 exons.